Molecule: ribosomal RNA, 577 nt
Filed under: uncultured Bacteroidales bacterium
Lineage: Bacteria; Pseudomonadati; Bacteroidota; Bacteroidia; Bacteroidales
Description: bacterial SSU rRNA
Rfam family: Bacterial small subunit ribosomal RNA
Source: RNAcentral
UUCUGAAAGGAAGAUUAAUACAAGAUGGCAUCAUGAGUCCGCAUGUUCACAUGAUUAAAGGUAUUCCGGUAGACGAUGGGGAUGCGUUCCAUUAGAUAGUAGGCGGGGUAACGGCCCACCUAGUCUUCGAUGGAUAGGGGUUCUGAGAGGAAGGUCCCCCACAUUGGAACUGAGACACGGUCCAAACUCCUACGGGAGGCAGCAGUGAAGGACAUAUUGGUCAAUGGGCGCAGGCCUGAACCAGCCAAGUAGCGUGAAGGAUGACUGCCCUAUGGGUUGUAAACUUCUUUUAUAAAGGAAUAAAGUCGGGUAUGUAUACCCGUUUGCAUGUACUUCAUGAAUAAGGAUCGGCUAACUCCGUGCCAGCAGCCGCGGUAAUACGGAGGAUCCGAGCGUUAUCCGGAUUCAUUGGGUUUAAAGGGAGCGUAGAUGGAUGUUUAAGUCAGUUGUGAAAGUUUGCGGCUCAACCGUAAAAUUGCAGUUGAUACUGGAUAUCUUGAGUGCAGUUGAGGCAGGCGGAAUUCGUGGUGUAGCGGUGAAAUGCUUAGAUAUCACGAAGAACUCCGAUUGCGAAGGC